ACUUUUAAAGGAUAAUAGCUUUCCACUGGUCUUAGGAACCAUUACCCUUGGUGCAACUCCAAGUAAAAGUA
This 71-nucleotide transfer RNA is filed under the name Leiolepis rubritaeniata. RNAcentral describes it as "tRNA-Leu". The record is from RNAcentral. Lineage: Eukaryota; Metazoa; Chordata; Lepidosauria; Squamata; Agamidae.